AGAGUUUGAUCCUGGCUCAGAUUGAACGCUGGCGGCAUGCCUUACACAUGCAAGUCGAACGGUAACAGGUCUUCGGAUGCUGACGAGUGGCGAACGGGUGAGUAAUACAUCGGAACGUGCCCGAUCGUGGGGGAUAACGAGGCGAAAGCUUUGCUAAUACCGCAUACGAUCUACGGAUGAAAGCGGGGGAUCUUCGGACCUCGCGCGGACGGAGCGGCCGAUGGCAGAUUAGGUAGUUGGUGGGAUAAAAGCUUACCAAGCCGACGAUCUGUAGCUGGUCUGAGAGGAUGAUCAGCCACACUGGGACUGAGACACGGCCCAGACUCCUACGGGAGGCAGCAGUGGGGAAUUUUGGACAAUGGGCGAAAGCCUGAUCCAGCCAUGCCGCGUGCAGGAUGAAGGCCUUCGGGUUGUAAACUGCUUUUGUACGGAACGAAAAGCCUCUUUCUAAUAAAGAGGGGUCAUGACGGUACCGUAAGAAUAAGCACCGGCUAACUACGUGCCAGCAGCCGCGGUAAUACGUAGGGUGCAAGCGUUAAUCGGAAUUACUGGGCGUAAAGCGUGCGCAGGCGGUUUUGUAAGACAGAGGUGAAAUCCCCGGGCUCAACCUGGGAACUGCCUUUGUGACUGCAAGGCUGGAGUGCGGCAGAGGGGGAUGGAAUUCCGCGUGUAGCAGUGAAAUGCGUAGAUAUGCGGAGGAACACCGAUG
RNAcentral lists this ribosomal RNA (709 nucleotides) under uncultured bacterium. RNAcentral's name for it is "bacterial SSU rRNA". It matches the Rfam family "Bacterial small subunit ribosomal RNA", at positions 8 to 714 of the family's 1533-position model. The record is from RNAcentral.